This 1285-nucleotide long non-coding RNA is filed under the name Nicotiana tabacum (common tobacco). RNAcentral's name for it is "long non-coding RNA (NTAB_LNC014462)". Lineage: Eukaryota; Viridiplantae; Streptophyta; Magnoliopsida; Solanales; Solanaceae. The record is from RNAcentral.
CAUGGCUAAUCACAAACCCUGGGUCUUAGCCACACAUGAUAAUGCUAAUCAAAUUCACAAGUUUUGAAUGAAUGAAUGAAUGAAAAUACUAAGAAGAAUGAUAGAAAACUGGCAAUCCUUGCUCCUGAAACUCUUCAUGUGUAAUUGGCUCUCAAAGUGGUGUCCCCCCCUCCAAAUUAGGUUUAGAAUCAUUUUUAUACGAGUUGGGAUCAUGUAGUGUCAAAAAAACAGAGUCUCGAGGUGAAAUAAGAGAACUGCCAGGCUCAGCGUCUAGGGCAAUGCGUUGCGCUAGCCCUGUGCUGGCCUGCCUUCUCCUAAUUAAAAUCACGUCUGACUCCAGUGCUUCAGGUAGAGCAUCUAGCGCUGCCAUGGUCGCUGGACUUGUUUUUUGCCAUCUUCUGCCUUCUUUUGCUCAAUCUCUUGUCUUUUCAUUCCACUUCGCUUCAGGUUGAUUACUAUACAUAAUAACAUCAAAAUUUAGCUGAACAUGAAAAUACAUAAGAUUCGAGUAAAAUGUGAAGAUGACAUGCAUAUAAAUAUAUGUACUUUUAGAGGAAUAUUAGAAUUCCUUUAAGGUAACUUGUGGAGAAAUGGGAAAAUUGACAAGAUUUUAGCGCCUAAAACGUAAAUGUGAUUAAGUUAAUACUUUGUUACUAGCUACUUUGACAUGAUUUAAGUUUUUAGUGUAAUUUUCUUAUUGUUGUAAACUGAUCUUAGUACGUAGUUUCUCAAUUGAGUCCAAAAUUAGUAUGAAAAAAUGUUUUACGCAAAUAUACCUCGAGAACACUGAUUAUAAAAUAAUUGAAAAAAGUAAUUGACGUCCUUUAAGUUUAAGGUAUAAUUUUUAAUUUUUUUUUGCUUCUAAUUAUUUAUUCUCAGGGCUCGAACUUGAAAACUUUUUGUUAAAGAUAGAUGAACCAUAUUCAUCCUAUUACAUGGUAAUAUUCCUCAUUACUUAUAACCGUCACUAAUUAAACACCCACAUCACACACCAUCUCGAGCUACUAUCCACUCUACUACUACUAUUAUAUUAAGUGCGGGGCGAAUCUAAAUUAGAGUGACACAUAUGGCUUCACGUGAAUUCAAUCAUUUUUCUAGCUAGACUAAGUAUAUAUAUUACGGAAUUUAUUUAAUAUUUAUAAAUAUUUUAACUGUAAACUUAAUUAUUAUAGUAUAUUAACUUGAGAUCGAUGUAGAAGCCUAUAAACUUCAAAAUUCUAAAUCUGCAUCGCAUGAAACAUCAUAAAACAAUGUAAGAAACACUUACAAUAUUGUCGACAUUUUU